Molecule: Y RNA, 95 nt
Filed under: Microcebus murinus (gray mouse lemur)
Lineage: Eukaryota; Metazoa; Chordata; Mammalia; Primates; Cheirogaleidae
Description: Y RNA (ENSMICG00000043747.1)
Rfam family: Y RNA
About the family: Y RNAs are components of the Ro ribonucleoprotein particle (Ro RNP), in association with Ro60 and La proteins.
Source: Rfam by way of RNAcentral
GGCUGGUCCGAUGGUAGUGGGUUAUCAGAACUUAUUCACAUUAGUGUCACUAAAGUUGGUAUUCAACCCCCCACUGCUAAAUUUGACUGCUUUUA